RNAcentral lists this ribosomal RNA (355 nucleotides) under uncultured bacterium. RNAcentral describes it as "bacterial SSU rRNA". It matches the Rfam family "Bacterial small subunit ribosomal RNA", at positions 29 to 408 of the family's 1533-position model. The record is from RNAcentral.
GCGAACGCUGGCGGCAGGCUUAACACAUGCAAGUCGAGCGGGCGUAGCAAUACGUCAGCGGCAGACGGGUGAGUAACGCGUGGGAACGUACCUUUGGUUCGGAACAACACAGGGAACUUGUGCUAAUACCGGAUAAGCCCUUACGGGGAAAGGAUUAUCGCCGAAGAUCGGCCCGCGUCUGAUUAGCUAGUUGGUGUGGUAACGGCGCACCAAGGCGACGAUCAGUAGCUGGCUGAGAGGAUGAUCAGCCACCAUUGGGACGUGAGACACGGCCCACGACUCCUACGGGAGGCAGCAGUGGGGAAGUCUUGCGCAAUGGGCGGAAAGACCUGACGCAGCCAUGCCGCGUGAAUGA